CCCCUGAUGUCAUGACAAAUUUAUCCUCGCUUGGACCACCGAUGCAGUCUGGCCCAUUGAACGAUGGAGUCAUGAAGUAGCCCUCGUCUCUUUCAUCAUACCAAUAGAGGUCAUUUUGCAAAUCAAGACCAGGGUAAUCACGUGCUGUGCCAAACUGAGACAACCUAUCUGAUGAUGUUUCUGAAUUAUCUUGAGAUCCAGAACAAAGUCCAUAUGGAUUUGUAAAUUCUGAAGAGCACAAAUCACUAGUAGAAGAUUUCAAGCUAACAAACUCCUCAUCCGAGCCAGACCCAGAACU
RNAcentral lists this unclassified non-coding RNA (298 nucleotides) under Hevea brasiliensis (rubber tree). Lineage: Eukaryota; Viridiplantae; Streptophyta; Magnoliopsida; Malpighiales; Euphorbiaceae. The record is from RNAcentral.